ACUCAAAGGAAUUGACGGGGACUCGCACAAGCGGUGGAACAUGAGGUUUAAUUCGACAAUGAACGAAGAACCUCACCAGGGUUUGAAAUGCUUAUUGCAAUCCGGAAGAAACUUCGGACCUUCGCAAGAACAGUAAGCACAGGUGCUGCAUGGUUGUCGUCAGCUCGUGCCGUGAGGCGUUCCCUUAAUUGGGGUAACGAGCGCAACCCCUGUUUCGUGUUACAAGUGUCACGAAAGACUGCCCAGCCUAAAGAUCGGAAAGCGCUUUGAGUCGCUUUAUGAUUUUCAGGCUGGGAGGAAGGAGGGGAUGACGUCAAAUCCGCAUGGCCCUUUGAUACCCUGGGCUACACUCAUGUUACAAUGGUCACGACAAUGGGUUGCCAAGCCGUAAGGCGGAGCUAAUCCCCCAACCGUGGCCCUAGUUCGGAUUGAGGGCUGCAACUCGCCCUCAUGAAGCUGGAAUCGCUAGUAAUCGUGGGUCAGCUAUACCACGGUGAAUACGUUCUCGAGUCCUGUACACACCGCCCGU
This 529-nucleotide ribosomal RNA is filed under the name uncultured bacterium. RNAcentral describes it as "partial 16S ribosomal RNA". It matches the Rfam family "Bacterial small subunit ribosomal RNA", at positions 899 to 1397 of the family's 1533-position model. The record is from RNAcentral.